CAGCCGCCACGGGAAUACAGAGGGUGCGAGCGCUAAUCGGAUUUACUGGGCGUAAAGCGUGCGUAGGCGGCUUCUUAAGUCGGAUGUGAAAUCCCUGAGCUUAACUUAGGAAUUGCAUUCGAUACUGGGAAGCUAGAGUAUGGGAGAGGAUGGUAGAAUUCCAGGUGUAGCGGUGAAAUGCGUAGAGAUCUGGAGGAAUACCGAUGGCGAAGGCAGCCAUCUGGCCUAAUACUGACGCUGAGGUACGAAAGCAUGGGGAGCAAACAGGAUUAGAUACCCCCGUAGUCCCUGUCUCUUAUAC
This 301-nucleotide ribosomal RNA is filed under the name uncultured bacterium. RNAcentral describes it as "partial 16S ribosomal RNA". It matches the Rfam family "Bacterial small subunit ribosomal RNA", at positions 509 to 807 of the family's 1533-position model. The record is from RNAcentral.